This 301-nucleotide ribosomal RNA is filed under the name uncultured bacterium. RNAcentral describes it as "partial 16S ribosomal RNA". It matches the Rfam family "Bacterial small subunit ribosomal RNA", at positions 509 to 808 of the family's 1533-position model. The record is from RNAcentral.
CAGCAGCCGCGGGAAUACGAGGGGGGCAAGCGUUGCUCGGAUUUAUUGGGCGUAAAGCGAGCGCAGGCGGUUAGAUAAGUCUGAAGUUAAAGGCUGUGGCUUAACCAUAGUACGCUUUGGAAACUGUUUAACUUGAGUGCAAGAGGGGAGAGUGGAAUUCCAUGUGUAGCGGUGAAAUGCGUAGAUAUAUGGAGGAACACCGGUGGCGAAAGCGGCUCUCUGGCUUGUAACUGACGCUGAGGCUCGAAAGCGUGGGGAGCAAACAGGAUUAGAUACCCCGGUAGUCCCUGUCUCUUAUACA